CGGUGAUUGGGACUAAGCGUAACAAGGUAUCCGUAGGUGAACCUGCAGAAGGAUCA
RNAcentral lists this ribosomal RNA (56 nucleotides) under uncultured eukaryote. RNAcentral's name for it is "partial small subunit ribosomal RNA". The record is from RNAcentral.